AGGACGAACGCUGGCGGCGUGCUUAACACAUGCAAGUCGAGCGGAAAGGCCCUUCGGGGUACUCGAGCGGCGAACGGGUGAGUAACACGUGAGCAACCUGCCCCUGGCUCUGGGAUAGCCUCCGGAAACGGGGAUUAAUACCGGACAUGACCUGGGACUGCAUGGUUCUGGGUGGAAAGUUUUUCGGCCAGGGUGGGGCUCGCGGCCUAUCAGCUUGUUGGGGGGGUGACGGCCCACCAAGGCGACGACGGGUAGCCGGCCUGAGAGGGCGACCGGCCACACUGGGACUGAGACACGGCCCAGACUCCUACGGGAGGCAGCAGUGGGGAAUAUUGCGCAAUGGGCGGAAGCCUGACGCAGCGACGCCGCGUGCGGGAUGAAGGCCUUCGGGUUGUAACCGCUUUCACCGCAGACGAAGCGAGAGUGACGGUAUGCGGGGAAGAAGCGCCGGCUAACUACGCGCCAGCAGCCGC
This 473-nucleotide ribosomal RNA is filed under the name uncultured bacterium. Its description in RNAcentral is "SSU rRNA". It matches the Rfam family "Bacterial small subunit ribosomal RNA", at positions 26 to 518 of the family's 1533-position model. The record is from RNAcentral.